Long non-coding RNA from Hemiscyllium ocellatum (epaulette shark), 1134 nucleotides. RefSeq lists it as uncharacterized. The record is from RefSeq and is a predicted model, not a curated record. The transcript has 2 exons. Lineage: Eukaryota; Metazoa; Chordata; Chondrichthyes; Orectolobiformes; Hemiscylliidae.
GAGGAGAAGUCGCUCGAGCGGGGAAGCGGCGGCCGUUAGGAAAAUGGCGCCGUGCGGCCCGGGGCAGACCCCCGUCACUGGUCACCGCCGCCUUCCUGGUGCAGCUGCUGUGUCACGGCCACACCGGCCGGCUGUACAGCAGGCAGGAGCCGGUGACCAUUCUGGAGGCGGAUGGGGUUAAGGACCUGUUUGGGAACUGGUCGGGCGCCUGGGUGGUGGAGUUCUACUGGUCGUGGGGCGGCCCCUGUGUCAACUAUGGGGCCACCUGGAAGGUACUGGGCCCGGGAGGUGAAAGGAUCAGAAGAUGGAAGUUUCAAAAUCAACAGACGAAGGCCUAAUGCCCAAAACGUUGACUCUCCUGCUCCUCGGAUGCUGCCUGACCUGCUGUGCUUUUCCAGCGCCGCAUUUUCUGACUCUGACUCUCCAGCGUCUGCAGUCCUUACUUUGACAUCCAUGUCUGACAGUCAUUCAAUCCAAUCCAUCGGGACCGCAACAGUUUGCAACUAUGAUUCUGUGAGGAGCAAAGCUGUUUGGUUCCUGUUUGGGUACGUUUUCAGCAUCAGUGGGACUGGAUGAGAGACCCUACCAUUACAGUGCACUGAGUGAGGAGCGUGCAACAGCUCUACGGUUUGGAAAGAGGAAUUCACGGUGGACAGAAGCUCCACAUGCGUUUGUGCGGCUGAAGCUUCGGCCAUGGAGAAACCCGAGGAAUCCCGCCCCGUGGAGAAACCAUGGAAGUGUGACGACUGUGGGAAAGGCUUGUUUCCCGUCUGCCCUGGAGACUCAUUGGCGCAGUCACACUGGGGAGAGGCCGUUCCCCUGCCCUGACUGCAGGAAGGACUUAAGCGAUUCCUCCAACCUCCAGACCCACCAGUGGAUCCACAUGGGGGAGAGGCCCUUAAGCUGCCCCGAGUGCGGGAAGGCCUUUACCCAGGCCGCCUCCUUGCUGACCUACCAGCGGGAUCACAUGGCAUUGCAGGAGGAUUGAAAGAAAGACGGCCGAGUGCCUUUACCAACUGGACUAUCAACCCAGUUCCAGUGGCGCCCGAGUUCGAUUCCCACAACAGAUGGCGGAAUUGGAAUUUGGUCAGAAAUCUGGAGUUCAGAAUCUAACGGUGAAACUAUUGUCGGUGG